CAUCUAAGUAAUCACUAGUGCAAGAAAUCCUAUAAUUUCGUACAGGUCUUAUAAUUGCUCGAUUAAAAUUUUCGAACUACCUCAACUUAAGAAAUUCGAUCCCAAAUUCAAAUUUUUCAAUACCAAUAAAAAUCAACUUAUUACAUCACCACUUGCAAAUAAUACGCUUUCCUUUCUGAUAAGCUUGCAACCUUCAAUAGGAUCAAAACCAGGAGGCAGAUUU
This 223-nucleotide long non-coding RNA is filed under the name Gossypium raimondii (Peruvian cotton). RNAcentral's name for it is "long non-coding RNA (GRAI_LNC001382)". Lineage: Eukaryota; Viridiplantae; Streptophyta; Magnoliopsida; Malvales; Malvaceae. The record is from RNAcentral.